Long non-coding RNA from Vespa crabro (European hornet), 340 nucleotides. RefSeq lists it as uncharacterized. The record is from RefSeq and is a predicted model, not a curated record. The transcript is spliced from 3 exons. Lineage: Eukaryota; Metazoa; Arthropoda; Insecta; Hymenoptera; Vespidae.
AUUCUAAUGUAUUAUGUUAUCGUGAUUGAGAAUUUAAUAACAUUAAUCCAAGCUUUUCAUAUGCAUAUGUUAAAUUUUUAUAAAGACCUUUGGAACAACCAUUUUCUUGGAUGGUUUGGAAUCUAUGAAAUUUCUUCCAUCUUUAUAAAUCCUGGAGGAAUUGAAGGAAUGAUUCGAUUAAUAUAAAUCUCAACAAAUGAAGGUUUUUUACGUGCUGGACUAUUUGGCACACGGAACGUAUUAUCUUCUCCAUCUCCACCGGCAUUAAGAUUCAUUUCGGAUAAAGGUUUACGUUGAUUAUGCAUCUCCAACAUAUCCAAACGUGGUGGCAUUGUUAAAC